Molecule: ribosomal RNA, 492 nt
Filed under: uncultured bacterium
Lineage: Bacteria
Description: partial 16S ribosomal RNA
Rfam family: Bacterial small subunit ribosomal RNA
Source: RNAcentral
AGUGAACGCUGGCGGUAGGCCUAACACAUGCAAGUCGAACGGCAGCACAGUAAGAGCUUGCUCUUACGGGUGGCGAGUGGCGGACGGGUGAGGCAUACAUCGGAAUCUUCUUUUUCGUGGGGGAUAACGUAGGGAAACUUACGCUAAUACCGCAUACGACCUACGGGUGAAAGCAGGGGAUCUUCGCACCUUGCGCGAUUGAAUGAGCUGAUGUCGGAUUAGCUAGUUGGCGGGGUAAAGGCCCACCAAGGCGACGAUCCGUAGCUGAUCUGAGAGGAUGAUCGGCCACACUGGAACUGAGACACGGUCCAGACUCCUACGGGAGGCAGCAGUGGGGAAUAUUCGGCAAUGGGCGCAAGCCUGAUCCAGCCAUACCGCGUGAGUGAAGAAGGCCUUCGGGUUGUAAAGCCCUUUUGUUGGGAAAGAAAAGCAGCAGGUUAAUACCCCGCUGUUCUGACGGUACCCAAUGAAUAAGCACCGGCUAACUACGUG